GUUUGGGCAACCAUGCCUGGGACUUAACAAAAUCCUUUGACUUGAAAGAUAAAACAAAUAGAAUUAUAAAAAGAUUAACUUGAAACUAGAGCAGGAAUUUGUCACAAACCGAUGAUGCUGUCAGUUUGUGGCCUGGUUUUGUAAGCAGGAACCCUCAGAAUGGCAAUUUGAAUCCUCACUCAGGGAGUGGAUGCUCUGCCCAGGACUUUUCCCCAACUGGGACUCCAGGUUGCUGUUACACGGGACUUCCCAGCAAUGCUUGAGUCUGGAAGUGUCUACCCAGUCAGUUUGGAGACAGCCUGAGAUGAAGGACGCACAGCACUUUGGAACUUGUAGGGCACCUCCUACCUUGUUCUUGCCCUCCACACUCACAGCUGGGCUCCUGUCUUCCUGCUGUGUGACCCUGGCUUCUGAUCUCUCACGAGUCCAACGUGGAUAUUAACAGGACUGAGCUCAUCAAGCUAUGGUAAGGAUCAAAUGAAAUAGUGUAUCACUCAGUGCCUAACACAAAUAUUCAUCAAAUUAUACCUAUUUGAAAACAAUCUAACAUUUAUUGGUUUAAUUUUCAAUAAAACUGUGACACAAAGAGAACACUUUGUGUUAUAUUCUCUGUGGAAGACAGUCCUGAUGACAAAGCUCAUAUAAUAUACCUAUGUUGUUAAAAAGCCAAACAAAUGUUUAAAGAGAAAGUCAAUACCCUUUCCACCUUUGUUUCCCGUAGCCACUCUCAUCAAGGGUAACCUCUCUUGUUUUCUUACAAUUAAUAGUAAUAGUAGCUACCGUAUAUUAUUAAAUCUAUGUCUGUUGGAUGUUUGUAAACAUGAACAUUUUUAUACUAGUAAGUAUAAAAUUGAUUCAAAGAUGUAUCCCAAUUUCAGAAGUGUUAAAUGUGAAAAUUGUAUGUAGGGGAUUCUUGACACACAAGACACCAUCACUCUUCUCCCCUGAACCCCGCAUAGCAGCAGAUUCGUCUUCCUUCCCAGUCUUCUCUCUGGGUCUUAGUUCAAGCUCCUUCAUCCCCCAGGAGUGGUCUUUCCCCAUUCCUAAGUCAGCCUAUUGAAAUACUGGCCCUGGCUUGAGAUCUAACUCAAGGCCUCACUUGUCUCUGAGGUUUUCGAGACUGUUCCUUUGACCACUCUGUGCUCCCAUGGUUAAUGAUGUUGACUCCCCUCAAGAGUACAUUGUUCCUCACAGAUAUAAAGAACAGAUAUUUGGAUUCUGUGGUAGAAGGUGAGAGUGGGAUGAUUUGAGAGAAUAGCCUUGAAACAUGUGUAUUAUAUAUGUGAAAUAGAUCACCAGUCCAAGUUUGAUGCAUGAAACAGGACACUCAAAGCUGGUGCGCUGGGACAAUCCAGAGGGAAGGGAUGGGGGACACGUGUACACCUGUGGCUGAUUCAUGUCAAUGUAGGGGAGAAAACCACCACAAUAUUGCCAAGUAACUAGCCUCCAAUUAAAAUAUUUUUUUAAAAGGAAAAGGAUAAAAUAUUUCAUUGGUAAUCUUGCUGUGUUGAUUACAUGUUAAAAUAUUACUUUAUAUAUACAUGACUAUAUAAAAUAUAAUAUUCAGUUCAUUUCAGUCACUCAGUUGUGUCCAACUCUUGGCAACCCCAUGAAUCGCAGCACACCAGGCCUCCCUGUCCAUCACAAACU
Bos grunniens (domestic yak) is the source of this 1650-nucleotide long non-coding RNA. Lineage: Eukaryota; Metazoa; Chordata; Mammalia; Artiodactyla; Bovidae. The record is from Ensembl.